RNAcentral lists this ribosomal RNA (507 nucleotides) under Granata lyrata. RNAcentral's name for it is "partial 16S rRNA". It matches the Rfam family "Bacterial large subunit ribosomal RNA", at positions 1816 to 2577 of the family's 2925-position model. The record is from RNAcentral. Lineage: Eukaryota; Metazoa; Mollusca; Gastropoda; Seguenziida; Chilodontidae.
GGCCCCCUGUAGAUCUUCUUAACAUAGGGGGUCUGACCUGCCCGGUGACAUUAACUUGUUAAACGGCCGCGGUACCCUGACCGUGCAAAGGUAGCAUAAUAAUUUGCCUUUUAAUUGGAGGAUGGAAUGAAUGGUUUGACGAGAGCUAAUCUGUCUCCUUUAAAAUAUUUAAAAAUUAACUUCUAGGUGAAGAGGCCUAGAUUUAACUAAGGGACAAGAAGACCCUAUCGAGCUUUAGUGGACCUUGGGUUGGAAGGCUUUCAUAUUGUGAAGAGCUGUAUCUUAAGGAAAUCUUUGAUUGGGGCGGUCCAGGAAUAUAGAAAACUUCCUGUUUUAUUUAAUUAGCGUACUUGUUUGGUGUUGAUCCAGUUUUUACUGAUUGAAGGAAAAAGUUACCGUAGGGAUAACAGCGUAAUCUUCUUGGAGAGUUCUUAUUGAAAAGCGGGUUUGCGACCUCGAUGUUGGACUAAGAUAUCCUGAGGGCGUAGAGGCUUUCAAGGGUUGGUC